Long non-coding RNA from Gavialis gangeticus (Gharial), 96 nucleotides. RefSeq lists it as uncharacterized. The record is from RefSeq and is a predicted model, not a curated record. The transcript has 3 exons. Lineage: Eukaryota; Metazoa; Chordata; Crocodylia; Gavialidae.
UGCUAAUUCAAAUCAGCUUUGAAUUAAUGAGUAAAUUGGUGAGACCAAACACCUGUUCUUUGAGGUUUCCCAGAAAUUCUAUAACUUCCCUGCAAG